UAGAAGCCAUGGAAGGAAGUAACCAGGGAUCCUGGUCCCAUACAAGGUGGCCUCCGAUGGCUGUGCUCUCUGAGUUCUUGAUACCAGGCCAUCCACUGUCAUUUUGUUAGUUUAUUACAUAACUACUGAGUGCCCAUUAUAUGGCUAUGGAUCAAACAUUCCCAACCUUGAUGUCAUGUGCUCCAGGAUGUACAAGAGUACAAGCAAUUGUUCUGAUAGAAGACAGAAGAGGGGUCUUUGUCCAUUUCUGACACAAAAAGCAUCACUCUCCUAAUGGUUAAUAGAGCUCAUCAACACAGCCCUCCCUAUUCCUCAACAAAGUGCCGUCCUCUGGAAAGAUGUGGACAUUGCUCUCAUUCCUCUGCCCUGGUUAAUUUCCCCUCGUCCUCCGUGAAAUCAUCAUCCUCACAAUCCAGUUCGAAAGAAAGUCAUGCAUAUUAUCAAGAGUGAAGCUGAACACCAGUUGGAAUCGACUGUGAGAAUCUGCAGGCCAAAAAGAGAAUAAGCAUGGCUUCAGUGGAGAGGAAAGAAGAGCUGAGACUUACUGGGGAGGCCCUGAAGCCCACACAGCACACUGGUCCUACAGAGUCUAAUGAGGGGUGAGAAAGGGUCGCGGGCCUCAGGGUUCCCAUCUGGGCAAUGGCCACACCACUGGUCCCAAUGCAGCAGAUGAGCUAUGAGGCAUCUCUAAGAGAGGUGGACUUGUGAAUCCAUGGCAUAGCACAUGGCAUGUGUUAAUGUAUCCACAUGAUUUCUCUUCCCUUCUUCUGUCUUCUCAUUCUCGUUCUUUCCUUCAGCCCAGAAGGGCUUUCUACCUUAUUUGUGCCCAGGGAAGGAGAAUUGUGUGGAAAUCCACAUGGCGUCAUGCUUCACGCUGCAAAAGUGGGAAGGACAGAGGGUGUCAUGGGGUCUCUCACUGCAGGUGUGGGUUCCCUUGGACUCUGGGGCUUAGCCACACUCGGGCUGAUUGACAGCAGGCAGCCGGUUUUGAAGGCAGGCUCUCCCAGACCUCACCAGGACUUCAGGAGGAACGGAGAGGACGAGCUGCCCAAAGGCAAGGUAGGGUCAUGGAGCCCAGGCCCGGGCAGCGUCUGCCAGGGCCCCUUCACUGUGAGCCACCUCCAUCACAGGGGCUCCAGAAACUCCCUCUUGGCUCUCUAUCAUUAGCAUCUUAGUUCCAAUUACUUUAGCCUCGAGAGCCUCCUUUUGUUUUGCACUGUUUGAAAAUAUCACUUUGCACAUCACCUGGUGCUUAUUUUAAGGAUCUAAGUAUCGGAGGUUUCUGGUCUUUGUUUUAUAACUUUAUCCAUUUUUGACUGCCUUAAUUUCCUUCCUGCCCCUGUUUUGAAUUGUUCUAUUUAUUUUUGUCUGAACUUUCUUUAAAAAAUUUGUAUUCUGGCAAACUGAUGUAGCUCUGGAAGACAGUAUGGAGGUUCCUCAAAAAGUUAAAAAUAGAAUUACCCUAUGAU
Long non-coding RNA from Canis lupus familiaris (dog), 1469 nucleotides. RefSeq lists it as uncharacterized. The record is from RefSeq and is a predicted model, not a curated record. The transcript is spliced from 4 exons. NCBI's taxonomy places the organism in Eukaryota, Metazoa, Chordata, Mammalia, Carnivora, Canidae.